Molecule: long non-coding RNA, 575 nt
Filed under: Medicago truncatula (barrel medic)
Lineage: Eukaryota; Viridiplantae; Streptophyta; Magnoliopsida; Fabales; Fabaceae
Description: lncRNA gene4497
Source: RNAcentral
GAUAGUAAAUUACCUUUUUGCCAUCGUCUAUGAGAAGCGGUUUCUGAGUAAGGUAAGAUAGAGAUCCUUCUUAGAAAGGACAGAUAACGAGUUAUUAUCAAUUUCUGCAUCAGAUUGAGAGAUAAUUGAGUGAUAAUCAGAUGGCAAGAAUUUAUCUCAAACUGAAUCAGAUUCAGCGGCAGAUCUGAAAGUUGAUGAAACCAAAGAGAGUCUCGCAACGUCAUGUGGUGUUAGAGAACGUUUUCAAUGCAACCUUCAGGAAGUGGAUUGAAGGGAAGCUUAGCGGUUAAGUCUGGAGUUUCGUUAUAUCUCUUUGCUCACUUUUAGUUUAAGCUAAAAACUGAAGUAGUAAUGCCUGCUGAUAGUUAUCUAUUAUUAUUUCCUUCAAAAUCAUUUCUUAGAAUCAAAUAGGUUUUUAAAAGGGCCGGUGGAUGUCUGCUUGUGUUUUUAUUGCAUUAUGUUAGGAUACUUUGGAGCCAAUAUAAUUUUGAAGUUUGAUAUUUAAAAAGGGUUUUGAAACUAUUGUGAUUAGAGCUUUCCUUUUGAUAGUUUUUUUUUUUAUAGCUUUUGGCUUU